AGUCGAGCGGCAGCGGAAGUAGCUUGCUACUUUGCCGGCGAGCGGCGGACGGGUGAGUAAUGUCUGGGAAACUGCCUGAUGGAGGGGGAUAACUACUGGAAACGGUAGCUAAUACCGCAUGACCUCGAAAGAGCAAAGUGGGGGAUCUUCGGACCUCACGCCAUCGGAUGUGCCCAGAUGGGAUUAGCUAGUAGGUGAGGUAAUGGCUCACCUAGGCGACGAUCCCUAGCUGGUCUGAAAGGAUGACCAGCCACACUGGAACUGAGACACGGUCCAGACUCCUACGGGAGGCAGCAUUGGGGAAUAUUGCACAAUGGGCUCAAGCCUGAUGCAGCCAUGCCGCGUGUGUGAAGAAGGCCUUAGGGUUGUAAAGCACUUUCAGCGAGGAGGAAGGCAUCAUACUUAAUACGUGUGGUGAUUGACGUUACUCGCAGAAGAAUCACCGGCUAACUCCGUGCCAGCAGCCGCGGUGAUACGGAGGGUGCAAGCGUUAAUCGGAAUUACUGGGCGUAAAGCGCACGCAGGCGGUUUGUUAAGUCCGAUGUGAAAUCCCCGCGCUUAACGUGGGAACUGCAUUUUGAAACUGGC
RNAcentral lists this ribosomal RNA (588 nucleotides) under uncultured bacterium. RNAcentral's name for it is "bacterial SSU rRNA". It matches the Rfam family "Bacterial small subunit ribosomal RNA", at positions 60 to 637 of the family's 1533-position model. The record is from RNAcentral.